RNAcentral lists this ribosomal RNA (300 nucleotides) under uncultured Desulfovibrio sp. RNAcentral's name for it is "partial 16S ribosomal RNA". The stretch from base 51 to 300 matches the Rfam family "Bacterial small subunit ribosomal RNA", at positions 547 to 795 of the family's 1533-position model. The record is from RNAcentral. Lineage: Bacteria; Pseudomonadati; Thermodesulfobacteriota; Desulfovibrionia; Desulfovibrionales; Desulfovibrionaceae.
GCAACGAGGGGGAGGGGGCGGGGGUGGGACGUGGGGGGGAGGGGUUGGCCGGAGUUAUUUGGGGUAAAGAGCACGUAGGCGGUUAGGUAAGGCAGGUGUAAAAACUCCAGGCUCAACUUGGAGAGGCCACCUGAUACUGCCGUGACUAGAGUCCGGUAGAGGAGCACGGAAUUCCUGGUGUAGCGGUGAAAGGCGCAGAUAUCAGGAGGAACACCAGCGGCGAAGGCGGUGCUCUGGGCCGGAACUGACGCUGAGGAGCGAAAGCGUGGGGAGCGAACAGGAUUAGAUACCCGGGUAGUC